Molecule: ribosomal RNA, 468 nt
Filed under: uncultured bacterium
Lineage: Bacteria
Description: partial 16S ribosomal RNA
Rfam family: Bacterial small subunit ribosomal RNA
Source: RNAcentral
GACGAACGCUGGCGGCGUGCUUAACACAUGCAAGUCGAACGGAAAGGCCCUGCUUUUGUGGGGUGCUAGCGUGGCGAACGGGUGAGUAACACGUGAGUCACCUGCCCUUGACUUUGGGAUAACUUCAGGAAACUGGGGCUAAUACCGGAUAGGAGCUCCUGCUGCAUGGUGGGGGUUGGAAAGUUUCGGCGGUUGGGGAUGGACUCGCGGCUUAUCAGCUUGUUGGUGGGGUAGUGGCUUACCAAGGCUUCGACGGGUAGCCGGCCUGAGAGGGUGACCGGCCACAUUGGGACUGAGAUACGGCCCAGACUCCUACGGGAGGCAGCAGUGGGGAAUAUUGCACAAUGGGCGGAAGCCUGAUGCAGCAACGCCGCGUGCGGGAUGACGGCCUUCGGGUUGUAAACCGCUUUCGCCUGUGACGAAGCGUGAGUGACGGUAAUGGGUAAAGAAGCACCGGCUAACUACGUG